AUUGAACGCUGGCGGCAGGCCUAACACAUGCAAGUCGAACGGUAACAGGGAGCAGCUUGCUGCUCUGCUGACGAGUGGCGGACGGGUGAGUAAUGUCUGGGAAACUGCCUGAUGGAGGGGGAUAACUACUGGAAACGGUAGCUAAUACCGCAUAACGUCUUCGGACCAAAGUGGGGGACCUUCGGGCCUCAUGCCAUCAGAUGUGCCCAGAUGGGAUUAGCUAGUAGGUGGGGUAACGGCUCACCUAGGCGACGAUCCCUAGCUGGUCUGAGAGGAUGACCAGCCACACUGGAACUGAGACACGGUCCAGACUCCUACGGGAGGCAGCAGUGGGGAAUAUUGCACAAUGGGCGCAAGCCUGAUGCAGCCAUGCCGCGUGUAUGAAGAAGGCCUUCGGGUUGUAAAGUACUUUCAGCGGGGAGGAAGGCGUUGUGGUUAAUAACCGCAGCGAUUGACGUUACCCGCAGAAGAAGCACCGGCUAACUCCGUGCCAGCAGCCGCGGUAAUACGGAGGGUGCAAGCGUUAAUCGGAAUUACUGGGCGUAAAGCGCACGCAGGCGGUNNNUUAAGUCAGAUGUGAAAUCCCCGGGCUCAACCUGGGAACUGCAUUUGAAACUGGYMNGCUUGAGUCUCGUAGAGGGGGGUAGAAUUCCAGGU
This 657-nucleotide ribosomal RNA is filed under the name Cronobacter malonaticus. RNAcentral describes it as "bacterial SSU rRNA". It matches the Rfam family "Bacterial small subunit ribosomal RNA", at positions 28 to 674 of the family's 1533-position model. Lineage: Bacteria; Pseudomonadati; Pseudomonadota; Gammaproteobacteria; Enterobacterales; Enterobacteriaceae. The record is from RNAcentral.